Long non-coding RNA from Chroicocephalus ridibundus (black-headed gull), 251 nucleotides. RefSeq lists it as uncharacterized. Lineage: Eukaryota; Metazoa; Chordata; Aves; Charadriiformes; Laridae. The transcript has 3 exons. The record is from RefSeq and is a predicted model, not a curated record.
GGAGAAAGCGAGAGGUCUAGUGAACCGAUGGAUGAUUUAAAGAUACGCACUCAGUGGAGGAAUUCCGAAAAAGGUCUGCCCGCAGCCUGACAGCGCCAUUUCCUUAAUGAAAAUGGCUCCAGACAAAGUUUUCGUUUCUACUCCAAGUCUUUCAUUCCCCUCAGGAAGAAAAGCGAGACCUAGAGCCUGGAUCCAAAUUCGCUUCUUGACCUCUCCCAGGUGGGAAACCUAUUUAAGGCUGUUGCUUCACG